Molecule: ribosomal RNA, 972 nt
Filed under: uncultured bacterium
Lineage: Bacteria
Description: bacterial SSU rRNA
Rfam family: Bacterial small subunit ribosomal RNA
Source: RNAcentral
UAAUACGUAGGGGGCGAGCGUUGUCCGGAAUUACUGGGCGUAAAGGGCGUGUAGGCGGCCUGUUAAGUCAGGGGUGAAAGACCGGGGCUCAACCCCGGGGGUGCCUCUGAAACUGGCGGGCUUGAGUGCUCUAGAGGGCAGUGGAAUUCCCGGUGUAGCAGUGAAAUGCGUAGAGAUCGGGAGGAACACCAGUGGCGAAGGCGGCUGCCUGGGGAGUCACUGACGCUGAGGCGCGAAAGCUAGGGGAGCAAACAGGAUUAGAUACCCUGGUAGUCCUAGCCGUAAACGAUGAGUGCUAUGUGUGAGGGGUAUCGACCCCCCUCGUGCAGGAGCUAACGCACUAAGCACUCCGCCUGGGGAGUACGGCCGCAAGGUUGAAACUCAAAGGAAUUGACGGGGGCCCGCACAAGCAGCGGAGCAUGUGGUUUAAUUCGAAGCAACGCGUAGAACCUUACCAGGGCUUGACAUCCACCGAACCCUGCAGAGAUGCGGGGGUGCCUCUCUUCGGAGAGGAACGGUGAGACAGGUGGUGCAUGGUUGUCGUCAGCUCGUGUCGUGAGAUGUUGGGUUAAGUCCCGCAACGAGCGCAACCCCUGUCGCAUGUUGCCAGCACGUUAUGGUGGGCACUCAUGCGAGACUGCCGGUGACAAACCGGAGGAAGGUGGGGAUGACGUCAAAUCAUCAUGCCCCUUAUGUCCUGGGCUACACACGUGCUACAAUGGCCGCCACAGAGCGCCCCGAACCCGCGAGGGGGAGGCAAUCGCGAAAGGCGGUCCCAGUUCGGAUCGCAGGCUGCAACUCGCCUGCGUGAAGUCGGAGUUGCUAGUAAUCGCGGAUCAGCACGCCGCGGUGAAUACGUUCCCGGGCCUUGUACACACCGCCCGUCACACCAUGGGAGCUGGCAACACCCGAAGUCGGUGAGCUAACCCGCAAGGGAGGCAGCCGCCGAAGGUGGGGCCGGUGACUGGGGUG